GCUUUCAACAUCCCCGUUCCAAGAUGAAGCUGACGAAAGGCAGGUUUGUCGCGGCUUAUCUGGAGCUGAAAGC
Molecule: small RNA, 73 nt
Filed under: unclassified sequences
Description: NAD+-I sequence
Rfam family: nadA riboswitch
Source: Rfam by way of RNAcentral